RNAcentral lists this small nuclear RNA (22 nucleotides) under Arabidopsis thaliana (thale cress). Its description in RNAcentral is "snRNA_01914". Lineage: Eukaryota; Viridiplantae; Streptophyta; Magnoliopsida; Brassicales; Brassicaceae. The record is from RNAcentral.
AUGUACAAUUAUAGUCGCUUGC